This 443-nucleotide ribosomal RNA is filed under the name uncultured bacterium. Its description in RNAcentral is "partial 16S ribosomal RNA". It matches the Rfam family "Bacterial small subunit ribosomal RNA", at positions 338 to 795 of the family's 1533-position model. The record is from RNAcentral.
CCUACGGGGCGCAGCAGUGGGGAAUAUUGGGCAAUGGAGGCCACUCUGACCCAGCAAUGCCGCGUGAAUGAUGAAGGUCUUCGGGUUGUACAGUACUGUGAUGGGGGAUGAACGCAAUGACGGUACCCCAAUUGCAAGCCACGGCUAACUACGUGCCAGCAGCCGGGAUAAUACGUAGGUGGCAAGCGUUAUCCGGAAUGACUGGGCGUAAAGGGUGCGUAGGUGGUUUAGUAAGUUGGCGGUGUAAUUCCGGGGCUCAACCUCGGCGCUACCGCCGAAACUAUUAGACUAGAGUGCAGGAGGGGUAAGUGGAAUUCCUAGUGUAGCGGUGGAAUGCGUAGAUAUUAGGAGGAACAUCAGGGGCGAAGGCGACUUACUGGACUGUAACUGACACUGAGGCACGAAAGCGUGGGGAGCAAACAGGAUUAGAUACCCGGGUAGUC